Molecule: ribosomal RNA, 446 nt
Filed under: uncultured bacterium
Lineage: Bacteria
Description: partial 16S ribosomal RNA
Rfam family: Bacterial small subunit ribosomal RNA
Source: RNAcentral
CCUACGGGUGGCAGCAGUCGAGGAUCAUUCACAAUGGGGGAAACCCUGAUGCUGCGACGCCGCGUGGGGGAAUGAAGGUCUUCGGAUUGUAAACCCUUGCCACGUGGGAGCAAAUUAAAAAGAUAGUACCACAAGAGGAAGCGACGGCUAACUCUGUGCCAGCAGCCGCGGUAAUACAGAGGUCUCAAGCGUUGUUCGGAUGCACUGGGCGUAAGGCGUGCGUGGGCUGUUUCGUAAGUCGUGUGUGAAAGGCGCGGGCCCAACCCCCGGACGGCACAUGAUACUGCGAGACUAGAGUAAUGGAGGGGGAACCGGAAUUCUCGGUGUAGCAGUGAAAUGCGUAGAUAUCAGGAGGAACACUCGUGGCGAAGGCGGGUUCCUGGACAGUAACUGACGCUGAGGCACGAAGGCCAGGGGAGCGAAAGGGAUUAGAUACCCGAGUAGUC